Non-coding RNA from Anas platyrhynchos (mallard), 7669 nucleotides. Lineage: Eukaryota; Metazoa; Chordata; Aves; Anseriformes; Anatidae. The record is from RefSeq and is a predicted model, not a curated record.
GCCGCCCCGUCUGCGCCUCUCUCCUCUCGGCUCUCUCCCUUUGGGUCUGUCCUGGGAAAAGAAGAAAGUUUAAAAACUCAAGUCUGGCUUGCACGAGCCCCUCUCCCUGCAAGUGGCUCUGUACUGGAGAAAGGGGCUGUUUUGCUCUGUGUAAACAAACCUUGUUGACAAGUAGAAAAGGCUUAAAAAGCAAAACAAAUCAAGGGAAGUAGCUUGUGAGAGCCAAAACUCAGCUGUUGUGGCACGGAGCUUGUUGUUCAGAAAGCACCUGGGCCAUACAAGGCUGACUCCAGUGCCGAGUGGCAGCCUGAAAUUAAAACAAGACAGUGCCAUUGCUUGUGACGCCAGUCUCAGGGCUGGUGGGGCUCCCGGCUGCCCUGUGCAGAAGAGCUGGGACCCCCAGACACCACGGGAUUCUGAUUCUUCCUCCCUCCUCCUCCUCCUCCCCCAGCUUUGUGGUCUUGCCCUGCCAGGUGAGGGCUCCAUGCCCUUGGCUUCCUGGGGCUCCCUCGGGCUCCUUCCUCCCCAGCUGACCUGGGAGCGAGCAGCCACAGCUGCCAGCUUUUCUCGGAGCUUUCUCUGAAGUCUUGCCAGCAGCCCUGAGAGGUGGCUGGUGCAUGACAGCACGGACGUGUGCCCUGUGACAGGUCCGUGGCUCGCCCCGUGCAGCUUGGUGCCCUCUGGCAGCUCUUCUUGGUGCAGACUUUGGCUCUGCAGCAUAUUUCUGUUUGGCUCCGGCUUCCAGCCCAUGACUCUGCUCUGCAAGCCCCGUUCUGCCCUGGCUUCACCCUGCCUGCUUCGGGAACACGGUGUCAUGGUGCUGGUCUCCGUCCUGAGUCACGCGUCUGGGCAGCCGCUGUGCGGCGGUCACCGGAGCCACGUAAUGGCCUGCGGGACUCAGUGGAGCUGAGGGAGCUGGUGGUUGUGCUCAGAAACUCCCGUGUGAUGCUGCUGCCUGUUUGUUAGAGUCAGGAGCAUUUCCCCGUAGUACAUUUCUCUUACACAAGUGGCUGAAUGGACUGCCAGGGAGUUUUUCUUAGGGCGUAUGUGCCAGGAACCUGGGAAGGGCUAAGAAUGGUUAUUAACGUGUUGUAAUAGAUUAAAGUUGGUGUUAAUGGUGACGAAUUGCACCUAGGGAAAGCUGCUGUUUGUACAGGCCUCCUGAGGUGCUGCUCACAGUGGCUGAAGGGGCCCUGGAGCAGACAGGAACAGGUGUGGGGGUAGCUGGGGGGCUGAAGGAAAAGCUGUUAGUUUUGUGACCUGAAAUUAAGGCUUCUCAGGGUUGAAGCUGUGUAUUCCUUAAUUGUUUUGUUUGCUUUGAGCUAAUUGUGCUGGAGUGAAGCUGUGGCACCUCAAAGCCCAUGAUGUGAUUGUAUCUCUGGUCAGUGUCUAAAUUAGCAUUAGCUUGGUGUCGCAACGAAGAUCAACUGACAUCUGGCCAGUGCCUUUAAUUCAGAAAGGGACUGCAAUCAUAUUUUGGAAACACUGUUUGCCUGGAGUUUUGAUUUGGUACACGGCAGCUAUUUACAGAAACAAACAAACAAACAAAAAAAAGAAGUUAAAGGAAGGGAAGAAUUGCAUUAGCCAGUUAAAACAACAGCACAAUUGCACUCUGACCACCACCAAAGCACAGACAGCUCUUGCAAGCAGCCCUGAUGCGUGUGUUGCAGAGGCUCUGCUUCUGGUUGUGAAAAUCCCCGUUGUGCUGAGCUGGGGCCUUACCUCCCCUGGCUCAUGGGGAACAAAAGCACUCGGUGAAUCACCCACUGCGCUGUGGAGGCCUUUGGAGAGCUGCCACCUGCAUGCCGGGCAGAGCCAGCCCUCCUUAUCCUGUAAAUCUGAUGGCUUUACAAAUCGGGGAGCAGCAGCGGUGACUUGCUUUGGGGAAAUUCAUUUGGAAUCCAAGAGACAAGUAAGAGGUACAGAGCGCUGCAGAGCCUCCAGGCUUUCUACGGAUAGAGAAAGCAGGGAGAUGACAGAUGAGCAAGUUCUCAGUGCAAAGCCUCACUUCUCAAGCACCGUGCUGGCAGCCUUGACAGCCUGAAAACUCAUUGCUUUGCUGAGAAACUGCCCUAAAAUUAGGACAAAAGAAACAGCUUCCUCAACCCCUCUUUGAGGUUAGGGAGCAUCCCUUCCUUGCCUCUUCCAUAUAUUCUGAAUUUAUAUAUUCCAAUUAUUCUGAAUUACCUGCUUCCAAUGAACCUAACCAGAAGAUUUCACGACUUCGUGGGGCUGAAGCUCCAGCCCUGUCCUCCUCUGUUAACACAGCAACGCUUUGUGGUGUGCUCUGUUAGCAGGCUGCUCCCCACCUCAGGCGAGGUUUACCUUUGCUGAAGACCUUCAGGGGAAAUUAUUACCCAUCUGCUACAGCUCUUGAGCACAUGCCAUAUAGGUGCGGUUGGGAUAGCGCUCGCCUUCGGAUGCUUUACCUCUUACUGAUAACGAGAGGUUCAGACCUUUGUGCUGUAGCUGCAGGCGCUGGAGCUCAGCCCACAGCUCUCUUCUGGAACUUCCUGGCAAGAGGAGAGAAGAGGGCAAAAAAAGGGAUUUUACACAGCAAGUUAAAAAUGAGCAAUAACCACUGCUGAAGCCAACUCCUAAAUGUUUGCUUUAGGGAUGUCUAUUAUUUCAGAUGCUUGAGGAAAGGAGAGUUUCUUCUGAGUUAUUUUAGUUGUCCUGAAAUAUUAUUUUUUAAAGAGUUUUUGGGUUCUCAUUUUCCAUUACUCAAGCACAGUUGCAUUGCCAAAGAAGCAACAGACGGGAUUCAUGACAAAUGCCACAAUAUUUUAUAGGCAUUUUCAAGGAUGAUGCAAACUGUUUUAGCCAAAGACUGCUUAUAGUUUCAGGUUUGUAAGUUGGCAUAUGCUGAAAUAAGGGUUGCACUAAUUGCAGUAGCUGCAGAACUGCCAUAUGUGACCCACCCUUACCUUAAUUAUCAAGUCCUAAUUUAUUGGUAAGGCAUGUAUUUAGAAAUAACUGCUUGUAUAUGAGCUAAGGUUAUAGGGAAACAUGCAGAAAUAACAGGGAACUGACCUGAUGGUUGCAUUAGGAUUCGAGAUUUUUUUCCCCCUCAUCAUGACUCACAAACAGAUUCCCUAUAAAACAUGCACAAUAGGAUAGGGAAGGCAAGGGACUGAAGACAAGGCCCUGAUAAAUCUGCUUUGCCGUGUGGCUGAAGACAGCAAACAGCUGAGGUGCAUUUCCAGGGACAUGUGGGUGACCUUGAGCUCCAACUCGAAGUGCCCAAUGCCAGCUGCUCGGUGCCUGCUGCCAGAGCCACGUCCCCAAAGCACCGGGCAGCUGCCUCCAGGGAAGUGCUGCUCUUGGUGGUGACGGGAGCGCUGCAGAGCACGGCAGCUGGGCUAGCCCAGGGAUGUGCAGUGCAGCAAGAGAGCAUCUGGCAGGAAAUGCAGGAGCUCGCCGAAGCACAGUGAAGGGCGGUGGGCAGGCUUGGCCCCCCUAAAAGCAAGCAUCAGGGGUUGUGGCUGGGCAGGCGCCUGCUGAGAGGGGCCUCGGUACAGCUGAGAUGGGAAAAUUCAAGAGGGAAUCUUUUCCAGGCUGACACUGCACGUGAGAGGCCCAGUGUAAUUCCCCCCGUGGCUUUUAACCUUGCUGUGAUAAAAGCUGCUAGGUGUGGCGGAGAUGACACGGGGCUUGCAGAGCCCCAUUGUUCUCUCCUGAGCCGGACCCGGUGUCCUCAGAGCCAAGUGGCAUUUUGUUUGUCUAAGCCAUGGAAAAAUGAGCAAGGUUGUUCAGGCUGAUUUUUUUUUUAUUAUUAUUUCGUAGUUCCUUGAUCAAGCUGUAGUAUCAAGGGAAAAAGAAAAAUAGAGCUUGGAUCCAACAAAAACAUUGAUUUAAUUUAAAUUGUCAUUUUUUUAACAGAAACUUCCAAUAUUUUGUUUUGAAAUAUGUAGAAAGCCAUUUCCUUGAGCUCAAACUCCCAGAUAGCUCUUAGUCUCCCAAAGCUGUGUUGCUGGGCCAACAAGCUCUCACAAAUAAAUGACUGCACUGGGGAUUUGCGAGCAGCCAGAGGAAGCUGCAUCCUCAGUCUGCGGCUGUUCAAAUCUAUUGCUCCAAACCUGAAUUCGGUGCAAGCAAUGCCUCUGCCAGGUCAGCUGAACAAACUGCCCCCUCGCACCAUUUCCAUUUGUUAUCCCUGGAUGAAACAAAGCUGCCUGAUGCACUGAAGCAUAUUCCUGGUGCAUCUGUUGCAAGGAAGUGGUCAGCCUCUGUGUAUUGAGACCGAAGCACUUUGCAGUUAUUCAGCAGGGAACUGGUGAAGGAGCAGGUACGGCUGUCACUGGCACAGCUGCGUAGUGCUUGUGCAAACAGCCUGCAGUGAGGGAAAUGCACCAGCCUUUGGGAAGGCUUCUUCAGAACAGCAGGAACAACAAAAAUCCCCUGCACCCAGAAAAUGGGCAGAGCAGUGAAGCCCAAGCUGGCUUCUUGCCUUUUCCUCCAGCAGCAGAGCUGAAGCACUUGUCAAGUCAAUGCAAAUGCUGGAGACCUGAAGGGGCAGGAGGAAAGUGGGGAGAGGAUGGGAUGGCACUGGCAGUGCCACUGUGGGGUGAACUUCCCCAGGAGUGCCAGUCCUGACAUCACGGUCAAAGCUUCAGGCUUUACAAGUUGUGAGUACUGGGUUUGGUGUGGGCAUUGUGAUACCUUGUGUUACUGACGUAACAGGAAGGAAAAUAAGGACUGCAAAAUGAACUUUAUUGAUAAUCCAAGAAUAGCAGGAGGCUGGUGCACAAAGGGCUUUGUAUCUUGUUUUCAGGAUGCUGAAAGGUCUACAGGUUGGCUUGGUCAGCUGCGUGGACUUAAAAGAAGCCAUAAGUCAGAUCUGUGUGAAAGCUGGCUGAUACCAAAUGUCCACGGCCCCCUAUUCUUGCUUUAAAUCCCCAAACAAAAGAGAAAACAGGCACGAUCCAGUUUCUGUAUGGCAAACACUCGCUUAUUGUUUUAGGAACUGCAUCUCUGAUUAGUCCAUGCCUCACUCACAUUUUCCAACCAGUAAACAACGGCCUUGGUGCCUCGUCGUGUUUACACGUUCUGCCUGGUGGGCUUUCUUCCCCAGCCACCUUCAUUUAUUUAUUUUUUUACCACUUGAUCCAUCACAACAAGCCAGUUGCUGCUCCGUCCUUGCCUGAGCCACUUCCCUUUGCUGUGUGAGGGUUGGAUGUGGCCUUUGACAUCUUCGCUGGUUGCUGCCCCGGUGUUGUAUGAGCUACAGCAGCAUUCGGGGGCAUGCAGAGAGAAGGGCUACCACCAGCUGAGUGCUGCAGGGCUGUAGGGUGAAAAUGCACAUCUUUCCCUCCCCGUGCCUCCAGAUUUCUCAAUAGCAGGUUUGCACUAUGAAGUUAACGUCCAAAAACCUUUGAGUACUUUGAUUAUUUCUAAAAUGGAGCAGGUGUGCGUUACAGAACUAGAUCUGUAAUGUGCCUAUCCUCUUUUGUUAGUAAUUUUCCCAGAGUCCUACAAAUUCUUGGUGUCUCCAAGGGGCAAAGCACCUUGGUGCUUGGACAGACUGUCAGCAGCCUUUGAGGCCUCACCGUGCCUUUCUGUGGCUCAGCAGAUGUGAGAGCUGUUGAUGGCACCUGGCGUCACUCCUGGAAAACUCACCUCUCUGCUUGUUGCAGAAAUUGAAAGGCAAGCGCGGGAGGUUCAACACAAAGCACAGUUGUUAUAUUGUACCCACAUGCUGACAGAAUAUAUUGCUCUAGGUGUCAACACACCCUGUGUUGCAGUCAUGUUUCUGAUGGCUUGAGAUGAUUGAUGCGAUGUUAGCAGAACAGUUCUCCAACGGCAGUGUCACACAGAGCUGGGGUGGCAGGAUCGGUGUGACGGGUUGGGCUGGGUGCUCUGCCACUGCCAGGUUUGGCUGCGUGUACGGGCAGUGCUGGAGCUUUGUUUGGGUAGGAAACAUCCCAACGACUGCUAGGAAGGUUCAGAGAAGCAGAGGAAUCCAGCCUGCUGAGAAAGCCACAUAAGAAAUUGUGAUAUGUAGAAAGAAGAAUGCUGUCCAGGGCCUGAUGGGGUGAGAAACUCUUCUCACAGAAUACCGUCAUCAUCUUCAGUGCUGCUCAGGAUGAGCAAGGACAAGAAGUGCAGUGAGGAAAUGCUGCAGAGCAAUUCCAUGGCAAGCAGGUACACAAGUGACAAGGAAAGGGGAGCUAAGGACGUUCCCUUCUUUCCUCCUGCACUUCCAUCACUGUUGGCAUGCUCCUGGGCUUGCCCCUGGCCUGUGUGCAGCUCCUGCUCCCUUCCCUGCUGCUGACCAGUGCAGAAGUUGUGCCUGGCCACAGCUCAGACUGGUGGAGGCUCAGCGUUGGCUCCCCUCUGCCCAGCCACUGCUUGCUGUGAGGCAGGGAAAGCCCUUAGGGAGCGGUGCUGCUUGUACCAGAUAGCGAGCAGAGCUUUCUGCAUGACGUUAACGUGCCUCCUACAUGCCUCCUUUUAGCACGUGCCAGAGUGGUAAUGGCUUUUGCAGCUUAAGGCCAGAACGACAUCCGGGGCAAAGUCUGUGGAAUAGCACAGGACUUUGUAUUGCCAUGGAUGGAAGUGCAGCUUGUGAAGCUUUAACACAUGUGCAGAUCUCUAGAGCAGAGAACACCAUCGGUGUGUGAUGGUAACAGGAGGAAGGGAAAGGUUUUUUUUUGCCCAGUGGUACAACAUUUGGGAAAACAGCUGGGCAGAAGGGGCUCACUGACAUUAUCACUCUAGCAUUAGCACUGCUUGUUGUGUUACCGCAGUGUGAGGCACAGUACACGUUACCUCUGACCUGAGUUUCCCAUUCUGGGGAGGGCAGCUUCAGAGCUGCUGUCCAGAACAUGCGACUGUCCCUUCCUUCCCCUCCAACACGGCACUGCCUUCAAGGCUCCCAGAUGGGAGCUGAACUGGAGAGGCUGUUGCAAGCUGCAACUAGCAGCAAAAGGGUUUUGUUCCCCCCUCCUUGUCCAUGCCAGAUGAGUAUUAUUUACAGGAAACACUUUGUGCAGCUUGGAGGUUUGUUUAGAGAAGGAGUGUAGAGGGAGGAGUCAGUUAAAAGCAUAAUGGAAAUAAAAUAAAAUAAAAAGGUCAUGGUAAUGCUCGAGAAGGUCCAUAAUUUCCUGGUGUGGGAGUUUUGCUAUUCUGGGGACUGAGGGAACAGCAGAGCUCGGGCUCUGGUUCCCAGGGGGAGACAGUGUUUGUUGGGGCUGGUGAGCAGAGGAACCAAACCAGCCUUCCCUGGGAAGAGAUCAGAUCCUGCUGUGGCCACGGGGCUGAACCCAAAUCAGCUGCUGGAGACACAGCUGCAGCAGCAGUGCUGGAGAAACCCCAAGCAUGCCUGCCUGGGGAGCAAGCUGGAGUCCUAAUCCUCAAGAGCAGCCCCUGGGUGCGAGUUUAUUUUUGCCGUUAUCAAGGGAAAUGGGGAUUGCCUAUAGCCUUAUAUAAUGCACAGAAUAAACAAAGGAAAUGAGUACAAGAUGCCCUCGGCAAUUACAGCCAAGAGUUGUCGUUGAGUGACUCAGCAGCCGAGUUGAAAGUGCCUGGACAUGUACAGAGAAAAGUUGCUGAGAAGAAUAACAGAUCUCGGCGAGUUACAAGUCAGGACAAAGGAGCUGCACGUGAUAGACCAGGGGAGGUUGCAGGGAUUUAGUCAAGUGAGUUUAAGGCCGAUGAAAAGCUGUGA